This 3771-nucleotide long non-coding RNA is filed under the name Homo sapiens (human). Its description in RNAcentral is "HSALNT0137444". The record is from RNAcentral. Lineage: Eukaryota; Metazoa; Chordata; Mammalia; Primates; Hominidae.
GUUUGUCUUUUAUCAUCUUUGGCUUGCCUGGAAUUUUAAAUCUUAUAUUAUUGGUUUACCAGCAAAAUUAGCUUUUAGAUUUGUCAUUGAUCUAUUAUUUUUCUACUGUCUAAAACAUCUCCUUGUGUAAACAUCAGCAUUUCUAGAAAUAAUGGUGUCCAGAUAUUAUACAGAUUGCUGGAACUUUUUAUUAUGUUUCAAUAGUCAGCCCAAAUUUCCAAAUUUUAAGGAGCAACUUCACAAACACAUUGACAUGUUAAAGAAUAGGUAUCAUUAUUUCACAGGUAACAUACUUAAGAAACCUUUUUGUGUGAAAAAGUGACUGGACUCAUACCGCAAUAUGUAGAAAUAUAUUUCCAAAUUUUUUUAUCUGCAUCUAAUAUGACAAAAUCUGUAGUGUUUUUAUCUAUAUGAAUUUCUAAAUGUUCUAUAAUAGUGAUCUUGCAUUUUUCUCUGACAUAAUUACUAUUGUGGGAAGUGUGUCUAUAACUUUUCAUAUUUUCUGACAUGUAAAGUAUCUGAUUUUAUUGUGUUGGAUCUUGAGAAAAGAAUCUAUACAAUUUUUGGUGUUUUAAAUCUACCGCUUUUUUGUUCUUGGCAUAGUAUAAUAUCAGUGUUUGUGAAUUUUCUGUGGACACUUGUGAGUUGGAAAGGAGUGGGAGGAGAAGAGAGUUAAUGAUUUUUAAGUACACACCGUAUAAAAAGGCUUUCAGUAUUUAUCUCAUUUAACCCCCACAACAACACAGUGAGGUAAGAGUUAUUAUCUACACUUUUUUUUUCAUUUGAAAAAUAGAUAUACAGUUAAGUGACUUGCCCAAUUACAUCUUGAGUACCUGGUCAUGCUGGAACUCAGAGUAGGGUGUGUGUGAUGCCAAAGGUUCCUGCCCUUUUUACUAAAUUACAGUGCCUUUCAAGGAGAUGUAAUUCCUAAUAGGGGUGUACAGAGUUUGAUGUAUAUCUAAUUGUGGUGCAUUUACUGUAUUAUUCAUUUCUUUGCUGUCUUUAUUCAAUUUUUAAUGGGGAUUUACCCAGGAUAAUUGGAUGCUGUAAUUUAAUAGUGGAUUUUUAGAAAUGUGCAUUCCCCAGGCAAUCGGUCUCAUCCAGCACAGUUAGUGGUUUCAACCACUAACUCCUCCUGGCUGUCAGCUUCCAAACAUGUAGUUUAGCUCCAGACUUGAGCUCGGCAAAUAUGUUUUUAAAAGCACAGAUGAAAUGCUUUAUCAUAUUGGAUGAUUAGUAAGGAAGAUUAAUAAGCUUUUACUACAAAGUAUUUGGAAAACAUGAAAAAUAUAAUAAAAAUCAUCUCUAAUUCCACAAGGUGAGAGAACCAUUAAUAUUUUAAUGAAUUUUCUUACUGUCCAAUUUCUCUGUCUUUAUAUGGGCACACACACAUACAUAUUUUAUUUAUCAGUUUGAUUCAAACCAAAUAUUCAAACCAUUGUAACCUCCUCUUUUUUACUUAACUAUAUAAUGUGAACAUUUUAAUAUUAUUAAAUAUUAUUCUAAAAUGUGAUUUUUUAUUAGCCUCACUGUAUUGUGUUGUGUGUAUGUAUUAUGGGAUAACAAUUACAUAUUGUUGAGCAUUCAGGACUACAAUCAUGUAAUUUUUACACAAGUUACGGGGUGGUUGUUGGUGUAAAUUUGAAUUGCACCUAGUUACAUAACAAAUGAAAUUACUAUUAAUAAAAUUUUAUUAGGCAGCGUGGCCUUGGAAUUGAGCAGCCAAGAACCAAUAGUGUUGAAAUAUGCAUUAUAUCUUUGACAAUAUCACCUUCAACAAUUUAUCUUAAUGGUACACUGCAUUGCAGCUGGAUUUCAUCAUGAACUGUCUCUCCAGCAAUAUCCCAAACCUUUCUCUCUGCAAAAUUUGCACUCUUUAGUCUUUUUCUCAGGUGGUCUAAUGCUGCCAACCUUUUCCCGUGCUGAUGACAACAGAUAUGAGAACUAAGGUGACCCUUCUAGAUAAUAAUCUUCUACAGACAGGUGAACUGGGAAAGCACAUUUUAAAUGGAAUUAAAUACUGUUGUAUAAAUCUUGAUGAGACUAUUCAUUACUAAUGGUUCUUCUAUUCUUGGCAUGCUUAGAAUUUCAUUCUACACUUUCUUGAAUCUGUUAUCUGUACAUUUUUGCUUUCCUGUAAGUGGUUUGUGAAAUAAGGAGAGCAUUUACUUUCCAUUUGACUAUGCUAUAAUAGCUUCUAAAUAGGAAAGUUGUGAGAAAAUGUUCACAUAUAAUGUGAAGCUAUUGAAUUUUUUCAUAAAAGAUGAGAAAAAGCAAAAAAAAAAAAUCUCAUUUCACCUAAUGCAUUUCACAGAUUGCCAUAAACUAAGACUCUUUAUCAUUGGAAAGAAAAUGCUGCUUUUCUUCAAUAGGAAACAUACAUAUUUGCAUUAUAACAGAAUGGGAAAGUUGUAAACAGAAGGGUAAAUUUUGGUUGUUGCUAUGCAGACUGAGCUGUCAUAACCCUCAGAGAUAUUUGGAGAAUAUUUUUACACAAAAGGUGAGGAUCUAAUAAUUUGUUCAUUAAAAUCUAUGAUUUACUUUCCAUACAUAAAUAACCCCAUAAAAUUACCAACAUCUCAAUGACUUCAGGCCUUCUAGGGCAACUUUGUCACCUAUCUUGAUGACCCUUUUAAAACUCUAGUUUCAUAACAUCACAUUUGCAGAACUUCCAUAUUCAUGUAGUUUUAGUCAAUACUGGACAUUCCAUUGAUCUCUUUGACUUACUCUACCUCUAACAUCAGAGAUACAAAAAUUUCUCUCCUAUUAUUUAAUAGUUUCCAUUCUCUUCGAGACAAGCCAUUGUGUUCAUUGUGCCAUCUUUUCCUGACCUAGCUUGGCAUUUUUCAUGUCCACUGUCACUUUCCUGGGUAUUAGGGCCUCUCUUUCCAACCUGAACUUGUUGAAUGCUUUAUUUCUUUGACUUCCUACCAUUCCUGUCUUCUAUUAUCUUAAUUAAUUUAAUCUAAAUUAAUCCCCAGAUUCUAAUUUCCACUGCUACUCUUUCUACUCCUGAGCUGUCAAGAGUUGAUAAAGGUAUGUUGCUGAGCAAAUCUAUUACACAUCCAUGCUACUUAGCCCCAUUGGGGCUGUCAUUGCUGCUCAGUAUCCCUAUUCCCCGUAUCUGCAAUGAAUGCAGCAAUUAUUUUGAGCUCUUUUCAGGUUACUAACUUGACUCCAAUCCCCCAGUUCUGAACAGAUACCUUCUAAACUAAUCAGGAGACAGGAGGCAUCUAACGUCAGUUCUGUCACUCUGUCCUUUUGCACUAUGAUUCCUCCCGCCUGCUUCUUUAUUUUAUAUAUUUGAGAAAAGCGUCCUUACUGCAAUGGUUCUCAGACUCUAGUAAAUCACAGAACCAUUUGAAGACCUUAACAAUGGAGGUUUCCUGCAUUUACCUUACAGACAACGCUUAAGCAGGUUUGUAGUGGGGCCCAAGAAUCUGAAAUUGCAUGACUACUCCAAGGAGUUCUGUUGCAGAAGGGCCAUAGGCUCACUCUGAGAAAAACUGCUUCAGGGCCAAGGCUCACUUUUGCUCGUCCUCUGAAUCUUGUCUCUUCUACUAGAAUUGAGAUAACAUGAACACCUGGCCCCACAAUAGGCUGUCUGAAAGCUGAGAGCAAGGAGAACCAGUCCGAAUCCCCAAACUGAAGAACCUGGAGUCCCAUAUUCGAUGGCAGGAAGCGUCCAGCAUGGGAGAAAGAUGCAGGCUGGGAAGCUAGACCCAUCUCUCCCUUUCACGCUUUUUUGCCUGCUUUAUAUUCGCUGGAAGC